AUUCCAUGAUGGGAACAUUCUAGGAUGUAGUCUUGAAAACGCUCCCAUGCUUCUGGAACAGACUCGUCAUGUUGUUGCUGAAAGCUUGAAAUCUUCCCACAGAGAGC
Small nucleolar RNA from Sorghum bicolor (sorghum), 107 nucleotides. It matches the Rfam family "Plant small nucleolar RNA R71". Rfam says of the family: R71 is a member of the C/D box family of snoRNAs containing the C (UGAUGA) and D (CUGA) box motifs. The record is from Rfam. Lineage: Eukaryota; Viridiplantae; Streptophyta; Magnoliopsida; Poales; Poaceae.